Non-coding RNA from Streptomyces avermitilis MA-4680 = NBRC 14893, 75 nucleotides. It matches the Rfam family "ASpks TB sRNA". The record is from Rfam. Lineage: Bacteria; Bacillati; Actinomycetota; Actinomycetes; Kitasatosporales; Streptomycetaceae.
CUUGAGCGAGCCGAGCCAGAGCGGCCGGCCGUCGUGCCGGUCCUGGCCGUACGUGGCCAGCAGCGCCUGUGCCUC